GGCCGUGUGGCCCAAUGGCAAGGCGCUUGACUACGAUUAAAGUGGUAUCAAGAGAUUCCAGGUUCGACCCCUGGCACGGUCA
Aaosphaeria arxii CBS 175.79 is the source of this 82-nucleotide non-coding RNA. NCBI's taxonomy places the organism in Eukaryota, Fungi, Ascomycota, Dothideomycetes, Pleosporales. The record is from the annotation of a RefSeq genome assembly.